UAGAGGAAGUAAAAGUYGUAACAAAGUUUCCGUAGGUGAACCUGCGGAAGGAUCAUUA
RNAcentral lists this ribosomal RNA (58 nucleotides) under Lactifluus aff. glaucescens EDC-2013. RNAcentral's name for it is "partial 18S ribosomal RNA". It matches the Rfam family "Eukaryotic small subunit ribosomal RNA". The record is from RNAcentral. Lineage: Eukaryota; Fungi; Basidiomycota; Agaricomycetes; Russulales; Russulaceae.